This 445-nucleotide long non-coding RNA is filed under the name Chinchilla lanigera (long-tailed chinchilla). RNAcentral's name for it is "lncRNA (ENSCLAG00000022735.1)". Lineage: Eukaryota; Metazoa; Chordata; Mammalia; Rodentia; Chinchillidae. The record is from RNAcentral.
GUCAUAUUUAGUUAUCUGGGUAGUUAUUUGAUUACUGUCUGUUUUCUCUAUAAGACUUCAGGAUCCAUGAGGGCAAGAGCCUCGUCUGUCUUGUUUUCCACCUUAUUCCUCACUCUGAGAAAGUGAUGAAGGGUCAAUAUUGAUUCCAUGAAAGAGUGAGGUAUCGCUCUGCUUGUCCUCUGUGGGACAGGCACCACCACCUGGGUAUGACUGGACCUGAUCAGAAACACUGGAGCCCUGUUCUCCUGACAAGAAGACCAAGUGCCAAGCAUUAUCACCACAUCUGACAUGAAAAUAUUGUGGGGGGAAAUGAAAAGUGGAAGUUUAUAAAAUAGAAGCAUCUUUCGACGGUCUGCAUCCGAAUCAUUGAAACUUCAACACAGAUUUUUUUUAAUAGAAAUUUUGCCCACAUAUACACUAAUAAAAAUAAAUCUGUUUCCGAUUA